AAUGAACGCUGGCGGCGCGCCUAAUACAUGCAAGUCGAGCGAGAAGACGUAGCAAUACGUUUGUAAAGCGGCGAACGGGUGAGGAAUACAUGGGUAACCUACCCUCGAGUGGGGAAUAACUAGCCGAAAGGUUAGCUAAUACCGCGUACGCUCCUUGGACUUCGGUUCAGGGAGGAAAGCGAUACCGUGGGUAUCGCGCUCUUGGUUGGGCUCAUGUCCUAUCAGCUUGUUGGUGAGGUAACGGCUCACCAAGGCUUCGACGGGUAGCUGGUCUGAGAGGACGAUCAGCCACACUGGCACUGCGACACGGGCCAGACUCCUACGGGAGGCAGCAGUAAGGAAUAUUGCGC
Molecule: ribosomal RNA, 350 nt
Filed under: uncultured bacterium
Lineage: Bacteria
Description: bacterial SSU rRNA
Rfam family: Bacterial small subunit ribosomal RNA
Source: RNAcentral